AUUGAACGCUGGCGGCAUGCCUUACACAUGCAAGUCGAACGGCAGCACGGGGGCAACCCUGGUGGCGAGUGGCGAACGGGUGAGUAAUACAUCGGAACGUGCCCAGUAGUGGGGGAUAGCCCGGCGAAAGCCGGAUUAAUACCGCAUACGACCUACGGGUGAAAGCGGGGGAUCGCAAGACCUCGUGCUACCGGAGCGGCCGAUGUCAGAUUAGGUUGUUGGUGGGGUAAAANCCUACCAAGCCGACGAUCUGUAGCUGGUCUGAGAGGACGACCAGCCACACUGGGACUGAGACACGGCCCAGACUCCUACGGGAGGCAGCAGUGGGGAAUUUUGGACAAUGGGCGCAAGCCUGAUCCAGCCAUGCCGCGUGCGGGAAGAAGG
Molecule: ribosomal RNA, 384 nt
Filed under: uncultured bacterium
Lineage: Bacteria
Description: bacterial SSU rRNA
Rfam family: Bacterial small subunit ribosomal RNA
Source: RNAcentral